Molecule: ribosomal RNA, 1378 nt
Filed under: uncultured bacterium
Lineage: Bacteria
Description: bacterial SSU rRNA
Rfam family: Bacterial small subunit ribosomal RNA
Source: RNAcentral
AGAGUUUGAUCCUGGCUCAGGAUGAACGCUAGCUACAGGCUUAACACAUGCAAGUCGAGGGGCAGCAUGGUCUUAGCUUGCUAAGGCCGAUGGCGACCGGCGCACGGGUGAGUAACACGUAUCCAACCUGCCGUCUACUCUUGGACAGCCUUCUGAAAGGAAGAUUAAUACAAGAUGGCAUCAUGAGUCCGCAUGUUCACAUGAUUAAAGGUAUUCCGGUAGACGAUGGGGAUGCGUUCCAUUAGAUAGUAGGCGGGGUAACGGCCCACCUAGUCUUCGAUGGAUAGGGGUUCUGAGAGGAAGGUCCCCCACAUUGGAACUGAGACACGGUCCAAACUCCUACGGGAGGCAGCAGUGAGGAAUAUUGGUCAAUGGGCGAGAGCCUGAACCAGCCAAGUAGCGUGAAGGAUGACUGCCCUAUGGGUUGUAAACUUCUUUUAUAAAGGAAUAAAGUCGGGUAUGCAUACCCGUUUGCAUGUACUUUAUGAAUAAGGAUCGGCUAACUCCGUGCCAGCAGCCGCGGUAAUACGGAGGAUCCGAGCGUUAUCCGGAUUUAUUGGGUUUAAAGGGAGCGUAGAUGGAUGUUUAAGUCAGUUGUGAAAGUUUGCGGCUCAACCGUAAAAUUGCAGUUGAUACUGGAUAUCUUGAGUGCAGUUGAGGCAGGCGGAAUUCGUGGUGUAGCGGUGAAAUGCUUAGAUAUCACGAAGAACUCCGAUUGCGAAGGCAGCCUGCUAAGCUGCAACUGACAUUGAGGCUCGAAAGUGUGGGUAUCAAACAGGAUUAGAUACCCUGGUAGUCCACACGGUAAACGAUGAAUACUCGCUGUUUGCGAUAUACGGCAAGCGGCCAAGCGAAAGCGUUAAGUAUUCCACCUGGGGAGUACGCCGGCAACGGUGAAACUCAAAGGAAUUGACGGGGGCCCGCCAAGCGGAGGAACAUGUGGUUUAAUUCGAUGAUACCCGAGGAACCUUACCCGGGCUUAAAUUGCAAAUGAAUUACGGUGAAACCCUAAGCCGCAAGGAUCUUUUAAAGUGCUGCCAAGGUUGCUUCCACUCCUGCCCUGAGGGUUCCGCUUAAUUGCCUAACAAGCGCAACCCUUUGUUGCAGUUCAAACAAGGUCCCCUGAAGACUUUACAAAUCGCUCGAAAAUGGAAAAAAAGGGGGGGAAAACUAAAAUAAACACGGCUUAUCUCCGGGGUCACCCUGUUAAAAGGGGGGGAAAAGGGCCGCUACCACGCGAGUGGAUGCCAAUCCCAAAAACCUCUCUCAGUUCGGACUGGAGUCUGCAACCCGACUCCACGAAGCUGGAUUCGCUAGUAAUCGCGCAUCAGCCACGGCGCGGUGAAUACGUUCCCGGGCCUUGCACACACCGCCCGUC